This 72-nucleotide transfer RNA is filed under the name Eutreptia viridis. RNAcentral's name for it is "tRNA-Ala". It matches the Rfam family "tRNA". Rfam says of the family: Transfer RNA (tRNA) molecules are approximately 80 nucleotides in length. Their secondary structure includes four short double-helical elements and three loops (D, anti-codon, and T loops). The record is from RNAcentral. Lineage: Eukaryota; Euglenozoa; Euglenophyceae; Eutreptiales; Eutreptiaceae. RNAcentral also lists the same sequence under 1 other name.
GGGGAUAUAGCUCAGUGGUAGAGCGGUGCCUUUGCAAGGCACAUGUCAGCGGUUCGACUCCGCUUAUCUCCA